This 300-nucleotide ribosomal RNA is filed under the name fungal sp. RNAcentral describes it as "SSU rRNA". It matches the Rfam family "Eukaryotic small subunit ribosomal RNA", at positions 548 to 854 of the family's 1831-position model. The record is from RNAcentral. Lineage: Eukaryota; Fungi.
UUGGAGGGCAAGUCUGGUGCCAGCAGCCGCGGUAAUUCCAGCUCCAAUAGCGUAUAUUAAAGUUGUUGCAGUUAAAAAGCUCGUAGUUGAAACUUGGGCCUGGCUGGCAGGUCCGCCUCACCGCGUGUACUUGUCCGGCCGGGCCUUUCCUUCUGGAGAACCUCAUGCCCUUCACUGGGCGUGUUGGGGAACCAGGACUUUUACUUUGAAAAAAUUAGAGUGUUCAAAGCAGGCCUUUGCUCGAAUACGGUAGCAUGGAAUAAUAGAAUAGGACGUGCGGUCAUAUUUUGUUGGUUUCUA